Molecule: non-coding RNA, 74 nt
Organism: Crenichthys baileyi (White River springfish)
Lineage: Eukaryota; Metazoa; Chordata; Actinopteri; Cyprinodontiformes; Goodeidae
Source: the annotation of a GenBank genome assembly
GGUGCUGUGGCUUAGGGGGUUAAAUUAUCUGUAUAAUGAGCAGGAGAUCCUGGGUUCAAAUCCCAGCAGUGCUU